GCGCACCAGUCGCGAAACCUCCGCAAUGCGGGAAACCGCGACGGGGGACCCGAGUGCCGUGGCAACGCCACGGCUUUUCCGGAGUGUAAAAAGCUCCGGGAAUAAGGGCUGGGCAAGGCCGGUGGCAGCCGCCGCGGUAAUACCGGCGGCCCGAGUGGUGGCCGCUAUUAUUGGGCCUAAAGCGUCCGUAGCCGGGCCCGUAAGUCCCUGGCGAAAUCCCACGGCUCAACCGUGGGGCUUGCUGGGGAUACUGCGGGUCUUGGGACCGGGAGAGGCGGGGGUACCCCUGGGGUAGGGGUGAAAUCCUAUAAUCCCAGGGGGACCGCCAGUGGCGAAGGCGCCCCGCUGGAACGGGUCCGACGGUGAGGGACGAAGGCCAGGGGAGCAAACCGGAUUAGAUACCCCCGUAGU
Molecule: ribosomal RNA, 411 nt
Filed under: uncultured microorganism
Description: bacterial SSU rRNA
Rfam family: Archaeal small subunit ribosomal RNA
Source: RNAcentral